Molecule: long non-coding RNA, 272 nt
Filed under: Elaeis guineensis (African oil palm)
Lineage: Eukaryota; Viridiplantae; Streptophyta; Magnoliopsida; Arecales; Arecaceae
Description: long non-coding RNA (EGUI_LNC060062)
Source: RNAcentral
CAAGCAAAGCCUUACAAAAUCAUAUCAAGAUUGGGAAGAAAAAAGGGGGUUGGAAUGUGAAUGUUGGGGCAUCCAACUCUUGGACACACCUUCUCCUUAUUUUGGGCAACAUGGAGAAGGGAGGGAUGCCUCCUUUUUUUCUCAUGGAAGGAAGAGAGGGGGCACACAACUUGGGGCAAGGAUAUCUUAUUUUAAUGAGAGUAGAGCAUGAGAAAUUAAUUAUCACAUGGGGUGGCUUGGUUUGGGUUUAGUCCUAUUCUAAAUAGGAUUCA